This 387-nucleotide ribosomal RNA is filed under the name uncultured Stenotrophomonas sp. RNAcentral's name for it is "bacterial SSU rRNA". It matches the Rfam family "Bacterial small subunit ribosomal RNA", at positions 822 to 1206 of the family's 1533-position model. The record is from RNAcentral. Lineage: Bacteria; Pseudomonadati; Pseudomonadota; Gammaproteobacteria; Lysobacterales; Lysobacteraceae.
GUUGGGUGCAAUUUGGCACGCAGUAUCGAAGCUAACGCGUUAAGUUCGCCGCCUGGGGAGUACGGUCGCAAGACUGAAACUCAAAGGAAUUGACGGGGGCCCGCACAAGCGGUGGAGUAUGUGGUUUAAUUCGAUGCAACGCGAAGAACCUUACCUGGCCUUGACAUGUCGAGAACUUUCCAGAGAUGGAUUGGUGCCUUCGGGAACUCGAACACAGGUGCUGCAUGGCUGUCGUCAGCUCGUGUCGUGAGAUGUUGGGUUAAGUCCCGCAACGAGCGCAACCCUUGUCCUUAGUUGCCAGCACGUAAUGGUGGGAACUCUAAGGAGACCGCCGGUGACAAACCGGAGGAAGGUGGGGAUGACGUCAAGUCCUCAGGCCCUUACACG